This 253-nucleotide ribosomal RNA is filed under the name uncultured bacterium. RNAcentral's name for it is "partial 16S ribosomal RNA". It matches the Rfam family "Bacterial small subunit ribosomal RNA", at positions 524 to 776 of the family's 1533-position model. The record is from RNAcentral.
UACGUAGGUGGCAAGCGUUGUCCGGAUUUACUGGGCGUAAAGAGCGCGCAGGCGGUCGUUCAAGUCGCGUGUGAAAGCCCCCGGCUCAACUGGGGAGGGUCACGCGAUACUGAUCGACUCGAAGGCAGGAGAGGGAAGUGGAAUUCCCGGUGUAGUGGUGAAAUGCGUAGAUAUCGGGAGGAACACCAGUGGCGAAGGCGGCGACCUGGGCCAAUACUGACGCUGAGGUGCGAAAGCGUGGGGAGCAAACAGG